Molecule: ribosomal RNA, 468 nt
Filed under: uncultured bacterium
Lineage: Bacteria
Description: partial 16S ribosomal RNA
Rfam family: Bacterial small subunit ribosomal RNA
Source: RNAcentral
GACGAACGCUGGCGGCGUGCUUAACACAUGCAAGUCGAACGGAAAGGCCCUGCUUUUGUGGGGUGCUCGAGUGGCGAAAGGGUGAGUAACACGUGAGUAACCUGCCCUUUACUUUGGGAUAACUUCAGGAAACUGGGGCUAAUACCGGAUAGGAGCUCCUGCUGCAUGGUGGGGGUUGGAAAGUUUCGGCGGUUGGGGAUGGACUCGCGGCUUAUCAGCUUGUUGGUGGGGUAGUGGCUUACCAAGUCUUUGACGGGUAGCCGGCCUGAGAGGGUGACCGGCCACAUUGGGACUGAGAUACGGCCCAGACUCCUACGGGAGGCAGCAGUGGGGAAUAUUGCACAAUGGGCGGAAGCCUGAUGCAGCAACGCCGCGUGCGGGAUGACGGCCUUCGGGUUGUAAACAGCUUUCGCCUGUGACGAAGCGUGAGUGACGGUAAUGGGUAAAGAAGCACCGGCUAACUACGUG